RNAcentral lists this non-coding RNA (28 nucleotides) under Rattus norvegicus (Norway rat). Lineage: Eukaryota; Metazoa; Chordata; Mammalia; Rodentia; Muridae. The record is from RNAcentral.
UAGAUAAAAGCCAGGAACUCAGAUGUUU